UUCAGUACCAGUGGGGUGAGCCAACACAGAGGGAAGACAAGAAGGAGACUAUGACAUUUUACCGCUUGGAAACAGACCGUGUGGGAACGCGAUGGAAGAGGGUGUGUAUGACUUUCCUAUGUCUUACAGGAGGGCUGCUGAACAUCCGAACCCUGCAGAGAGCAUCUAUGACGUACCCAGCUCUCUGUUGAGGAGGAGGCCUGAUCACACUUUAG
Molecule: long non-coding RNA, 215 nt
Organism: Trematomus bernacchii (emerald rockcod)
Lineage: Eukaryota; Metazoa; Chordata; Actinopteri; Perciformes; Nototheniidae
Exons: 3
Source: RefSeq, a predicted model, not a curated record